Molecule: ribosomal RNA, 732 nt
Filed under: Shigella sonnei
Lineage: Bacteria; Pseudomonadati; Pseudomonadota; Gammaproteobacteria; Enterobacterales; Enterobacteriaceae
Description: partial 23S ribosomal RNA
Rfam family: Bacterial large subunit ribosomal RNA
Source: RNAcentral
CCUUGAAAUACCACCCUUUAAUGUUUGAUGUUCUAACGUGGACCCGUGAUCCGGGUUGCGGACAGUGUCUGGUGGGUAGUUUGACUGGGGCGGUCUCCUCCUAAAGAGUAACGGAGGAGCACGAAGGUUGGCUAAUCCUGGUCGGACAUCAGGAGGUUAGUGCAAUGGCAUAAGCCAGCUUGACUGCGAGCGUGACGGCGCGAGCAGGUGCGAAAGCAGGUCAUAGUGAUCCGGUGGUUCUGAAUGGAAGGGCCAUCGCUCAACGGAUAAAAGGUACUCCGGGGAUAACAGGCUGAUACCGCCCAAGAGUUCAUAUCGACGGCGGUGUUUGGCACCUCGAUGUCGGCUCAUCACAUCCUGGGGCUGAAGUAGGUCCCAAGGGUAUGGCUGUUCGCCAUUUAAAGUGGUACGCGAGCUGGGUUUAGAACGUCGUGAGACAGUUCGGUCCCUAUCUGCCGUGGGCGCUGGAGAACUGAGGGGGGCUGCUCCUAGUACGAGAGGACCGGAGUGGACGCAUCACUGGUGUUCGGGUUGUCAUGCCAAUGGCACUGCCCGGUAGCUAAAUGCGGAAGAGAUAAGUGCUGAAAGCAUCUAAGCACGAAACUUGCCCCGAGAUGAGUUCUCCCUGACCCUUUAAGGGUCCUGAAGGAACGUUGAAGACGACGACGUUGAUAGGCCGGGUGUGUAAGCGCAGCGAUGCGUUGAGCUAACCGGUACUAAUGAACCGUGAGG